AGAACGAACGCUGGCGGCAGGCCUAACACAUGCAAGUCGAACGCCCUAGCAAUAGGGAGUGGCAGACGGGUGAGUAACGCGUGGGAACCUUCCCUAUAGUACGGAAUAUACCAGGGAAACUUGGAGCAAUACCGUAUACGCCCGAAAGGGGAAAGAUUUAUCGCUAUAGGAUGGGCCCGCGUAGGAUUAGCUAGUUGGUGAGGUAAUGGCUCACCAAGGCGACGAUCCUUAGCUGGUCUGAGAGGAUGAUCAGCCACACUGGGACUGAGACACGGCCCAGACUCCUACGGGAGGCAGCAGUGGGGAAUAUUGGGCAAUGGGCGCAAGCCUGACCCAGCCAUGCCGCGUGAGUGACGACGGCCUUAGGGUUGUAAAGCUCUUUUGGCGGGGACGAUAAUGACGGUACCCGCAGAAUAAGCCCGGCUAACUUCGUGCCAGCAGCCGC
This 445-nucleotide ribosomal RNA is filed under the name uncultured bacterium. RNAcentral's name for it is "SSU rRNA". It matches the Rfam family "Bacterial small subunit ribosomal RNA", at positions 26 to 518 of the family's 1533-position model. The record is from RNAcentral.